UUGACCACCAAGAAGACCAACAGGAAGGCAGGGGCUCAGGCGAGGACUUUCUGGCAAAGCCUACGCAAAUAUUCCUGGUCUGGAAGAACACUGAUGCCAUGGUGUGGCGGGUCCCUCUGCUCUGCAGAUCUGCUGACCCCCAGAGGCUGUCAGAGCACAGCCCCGACUUGGAACGCCACCGCACUUGCCAGCCAGGAGUGGCCCAAAUCAACUCAUCGGAGGGUUUGCCACCAACUGCAUCCCAACGCUGUUGCUCAAAAUUUCUCAAGUGGCCAUGUGGUAGAGGCUUGGGCUUCAGACACCUUUGGCAAAGAAGUGGCUCCAUUCCUCACAAGGGGCCUGUGGUGGUGAGAGCUGGGGCUGGGGUCAGCCUGUGUGUGUCCCGUCCCACUCCAGCUUCACAGCGAUGAGGUUUCCCCAGGCUCUGCCGCCAGCUGUCACCAAUCUGUUUCCUUGCCUCUAGCCCUGCAUCAUCCUUGAGGAAGAUUAAUGGAGCCGCUUAACACAGUAGUGUUGUUUUUCUCUCAGGCAUCAAACUUUGUUGAGUAAGCGUGUACAAGUGAGAAGCAGAAUUGUAGGUGGGAUAGGAACUGGGUACAUGAUCUUAGGUUAGACACAUCUGGCUUUGAAUCCCAGUAUUUGUUAGAUGACCUUGAUCCAUUUCCUUAAUGUCUCUGAGUCUCAGGCUCUCUGUCUGUAGAGUGAGAAUACCUUCAUUGACAGGCUUAUUGUGAAAAUGUCCUGAAACAAUAUUUUUAGAGAACUUAGUCCAAUGUAACUAUAUAGCAAUUUUUCAGUAAGAUGUAUUAUUGUUUUUAUCCUAUAGCUGGUGGAGUGUGAUGAUGUCUUUAUCCCAUCCCUGCUCUUCUAGAAUGAUUUUCAUUAAUUACCUGCCACCAGAAAGCCACCAUUUUUCUGGCUGACUCUGGUCUCCUUGUCCCAAGCAUCCUCACCAAGAGGCCAGUCAAGCAGGCUUUCAAUGACAUUCCUAGAGCAGUGAUGUCAUAAGCCUGGGCUCUUCAUUAUGUGCUACACUCAACACAGGUAAUCAGUGACGGGGUGGGAGGUGAGUGCUCCAGGCAGGAUGACAAGACAUGGUGAUGACUCCGAACGCCAGUACUUCCCAGCACCUCCUGCAGAAGAGCACCAGGCGGACACCAUGACCGUUGGCCACCAACUCCACCUGCCCCUGGUGAAGGCUGCCCAGUGUAGAGACAGAGCAUGCAGGCUUUGGAGUCAGGCUGCCCGGGUUAGUUAAUCCUACCCAUAACACUUGCUGCAUGACUGUGGGCCAGUCACUUAAACUUUCUUUGUCUCAGCCUCUUGAACUGUAAAUUAAGGUUAAUGAUAGUUAUCUACCUUACAGAGUUGUGGGGAUUAAAUGAGAUGAUGUGGCUUGCAGAGUGCAAGAAUUCUACCAAUAUUAGAUAAUCAUAAUAUAAUUUGGGGAGGGGGAAACUAGCAUCUGCUGUAGUCCAAACAUCAGGAAGCAGUAGAGGAUGCCUGGAUGGGUCAGUUGGC
Long non-coding RNA from Hyaena hyaena (striped hyena), 1521 nucleotides. RefSeq lists it as uncharacterized. The record is from RefSeq and is a predicted model, not a curated record. The transcript is spliced from 3 exons. NCBI's taxonomy places the organism in Eukaryota, Metazoa, Chordata, Mammalia, Carnivora, Hyaenidae.